UUUUUAAAAAGAGGUGUUAAAAAAAAUUUAAAAAGAGAAAUUAGGUUCUAUAUACAUUAAAAACCAUAAUUAGGAAACUACACUAAGCACUAUUCAACUUUCCAAAACUCAAAUACUACUCCUAGUUUCAUAGUUCUCUCUUUUCUCCUAUCCUAGCCAUUUCUCAUCUUCUCUUCUAUUCCUCUUUCAUCUCCUCUCUCUUACGGAUCAUAUUUCAUGUUCUUGAUAAUUAUAGUUUUGAUUUACAAUUAAAUUUGAUUUCCCAACCGAAGCAAGAUCCGAUUUUACUCUUAUUCAUUGACACCAUAAAUGCUAAUCUCAUCAUCUCCUAC
Molecule: long non-coding RNA, 332 nt
Filed under: Brassica napus (rape)
Lineage: Eukaryota; Viridiplantae; Streptophyta; Magnoliopsida; Brassicales; Brassicaceae
Description: long non-coding RNA (BNAP_LNC012353)
Source: RNAcentral